This is a long non-coding RNA of Brassica oleracea var. oleracea, 1198 nucleotides long. RefSeq lists it as uncharacterized. NCBI's taxonomy places the organism in Eukaryota, Viridiplantae, Streptophyta, Magnoliopsida, Brassicales, Brassicaceae. The record is from RefSeq and is a predicted model, not a curated record. The transcript has 2 exons.
UGCAUUUUUGUCGUGGCAGAGGCUAAGGCAUGUGGUGCAGUGGUUCUGUAGCUUCUCGUAGACGAGAUUUACCUCUAGCUCUCGACCAUCAUCGAACUCUAGAGUCGACUUCCUGAUAAGGGGUUGGAGACCGUUGAUGAAAACUCUCAUUCUAGUCAUGGUGUUUGUAAUCUCAGAGAGAUCGUAAGUUCCUAUAUCAUACGCAAUGCGCUCCAGUAUUUCUGUGGACCAGAGAUGCAAGGGAACGCCUUGAACUUGAAUCCAGAAAGGAAUCUGGUUGGGGAAAGCUGGGGACAAUGUCGGUUCCCAGCGUUGUAUUAUAACCAUCCAGUGGACGAAGUGGUAUGGUUGGUGAUCGAGGACUUUUAGUAGAUCUCUUUCUGAAGCGAAUUGGAACUGGAAGCAACCUUGGCCUAGGUCUGCACCUAUAGGUCUGCACCUAUAGGGCGAGAUUCACAUUUCCAAUGGUCAGAAAGGAAAGGGAUGAGAGACCAGAUGCGCUGCACUUUAGGGUUUGUCAUCCUCCCCACCAGUGUGAGAGCAUGUUUCUUGAUGAGUUCAGAGCUAUCAAAAUUUGGGACUUUGACUCGUGCCGUACGUGGAGGGGAAGAGGGCUCAGCAGGGGCUUUCCCUUUCUCCGCAUAAGACAUUCUUCUUUGCAUUGUGGCAGGCAGAAGAAGCUAAAGAUUUCUUCAGAGGGUAGCAGAUACACUGUUCUUCUUGAUGGAAACAAGAGAGGUUGAGUGUAGCGAAAAACUUGAGAUUCUGUCAAACAGCUGGAAUCUGGAUCUUGGCGACUUAACUGUUGUGAGCUGGCUGAGGAAGCUUAUUUGUUGAUCUGAGGGCCAUCGCCGGAGAUCAGAGGGGAAGAAACGGUCCCGCCGACCCUAUAAAACUCUAAAUUAGUUUUUUCAUACAAUGGGGUUUGCUUCUUUUUUUGCUUGUGCAGCUAUCCAUAUGGUCACGAGGAGCUUGCUAUCUGCCAAGACAUAGAUCAGGCCUGUCACUGACUUCAACGAGAUUGUACACCACUUUACUGAGUGUAUGUAUGUCCACAUGUACAACACCAAGCCACAUGUAUUAGCCUAUCCUUCACCAUUAUUUCAAGCAUUGUUCCACAGCCUAAAACUUGUUAUAUACUAACCUCAAUUACUUUUUGUCAUUUUUAUUUCAAUAUUUUAUGUAUGUUUUUCUUUAA